GACGAACGCUGGCGGCGUGCUUAACACAUGCAAGUCGAACGAUGAAGAAAAGAAUUGAAGCUUCGGCAGAAAUUCAUUUCGGAUUAGUGGCAGACGGGUGAGUAACGCGUGAGCAACCUACCUCUUACAAAGGGAUAGCCUCGGGAAACCGGGAUUAAUACCAUAUAACAUUGCGACGAAGCAUUUCGAUGCAAUCAAAGCUACGGCGGUAAGAGAUGGGCUCGCGUCCCAUUAACCAGAUGGUGAGGUAACGGCUCACCAUAGUAACGAUGGGUAACCGGCCUGAGAGGGUGAACGGUCACACUGGAACUGAGACACGGUCCAGACUCCUACGGGAGGCAGCAGUGGGGAAUAUUGCACAAUGGAGGGAACUCUGAUGCAGCGACGCCGCGUGAGUGAUGAAGGAAUUCGUUUCGUAAAACUCUGUUCUAUGGGUAGAAAAGGACUGUACCAUAGGAGAAAGCUCCGGCUAAAUACGUG
RNAcentral lists this ribosomal RNA (480 nucleotides) under uncultured bacterium. RNAcentral's name for it is "partial 16S ribosomal RNA". It matches the Rfam family "Bacterial small subunit ribosomal RNA", at positions 28 to 507 of the family's 1533-position model. The record is from RNAcentral.